UUGCUUUUACUCCCUUUGCCUUCUUCAUCUUAUUUGCUUGUGGGAGGGCAGUUGCAGGCAUCUGAUGGGUAGAGAGGAAUGAAAAAACUGAAGGUUAGGUAGGGGAGGGGAGGGGACAGUGCAGAACAGAAAGCAUACACCUGGUAAAAUGCGAAGAGGCACACAAUCCCGGAGCACAGUGACCAGUGGAGAGGCUGGCGUGAGAGGAAGUUCUCUGACGAGCCGGGGCUGAUCACGUCGUGCUCCUAGAAGCAUAUGAAGAUUGUGGACGUGAUUCUGAAGAGAGAGAAAGAGAGAGAAAGCCUGAGUGCAGGGGGAGGAGCAAAAGGAGAGGACAGAGAAAAUCUCAAGCUGACUCCAUGCCUCCAAACCCAGCGUGGAGCUCAAGCCUAGUGAGCAGUUUUGCUGUGAACCUACGUUUGAGAACAAGAGAUUGCAAGGAAGAUCAUCAAAACCACUCUGAUCUAGAGGAAGACAUUUGUACCCUUAUCUCCAAUAGGACAAUUUGACAAAGGGGCUGGGCCUGACUCUGCCCCAGCUGGAGGAGACAUCCUGGUGCUGCUCUCCAAGGAUGGAGUCAAGUGUCACCCUCCACCGCCCCGUACCAACAGAAUCUCAUCUUUGAUCUGCUGAGCCCGGUCUCCAAACUGAAACGCCAGCUCCUCCACCUGCUGCUGCAGAGCCCAGCGGAGAGUCUGCAGCUGUUUGGCCUCCUGCCUGCAGUUAAAGAACAGAGAUUGACCACAUUUCCCAUCAUCUCCAAGCUCCAAGAUCAUUCCUCCAUCGUCCCUCUCAAAAGGUAGGUCACUCCUCUGACAUCUCUUACAAGGGACUGUCACCUUCUUUAUUUGUAUCAGAUACGGUAUAUCUCCAGGGCAGGUGUUCUUUCUUUUUUAAAUAAAUCGAUUGCAGAAUAAUUUGUA
Long non-coding RNA from Mustela lutreola (European mink), 923 nucleotides. RefSeq lists it as uncharacterized. The transcript is spliced from 5 exons. Lineage: Eukaryota; Metazoa; Chordata; Mammalia; Carnivora; Mustelidae. The record is from RefSeq and is a predicted model, not a curated record.